AUCAAGCUGACGAGUCCCAAAUAGGAUGAAACUCACGUCUAGGAU
This 45-nucleotide non-coding RNA is filed under the name Schistosoma bovis. The record is from RNAcentral. RNAcentral also lists the same sequence under 1 other name. Lineage: Eukaryota; Metazoa; Platyhelminthes; Trematoda; Strigeidida; Schistosomatidae.